Molecule: long non-coding RNA, 570 nt
Filed under: Solanum tuberosum (potato)
Lineage: Eukaryota; Viridiplantae; Streptophyta; Magnoliopsida; Solanales; Solanaceae
Description: long non-coding RNA (STUB_LNC001374)
Source: RNAcentral
CGUAAUUUUUGACCGAACUUAAGUUUAACACCAUUUUUAGAGCUUAAAUAUUUUAUUAAUCUAAAUUAAAUAUUUUGACUUUUAUCUUAUUUUAUUAAGUUUAUUUUAAAGAUUUGAAAACAACAAAAAUAGAAUUACUUUAUAAGGUAAGUUUUAUUUUUCACUUGUUUAAAAAAAGAAAUGAAAACUUACAAAAAAUAUGUAUUCUUUUAAUUUAGAUUUUACUAAAUAAGCCAAUGUUUUUUAAUUAUAUUUUUAGAUUGGCUAUUUAACUUUUUAGUUCAAACUAAUUAAUUUAAAUUUUUAUAUAUAUUUAAUUUAUAAAAUAAAUAAAAAAAGCCUAAACUACCCAUUACCCCCAAAACCUCUACCCAUUUCACUCACUCUCACCCCACAAUCCCACAUUAAUCCAUCACUCCCCUCAACCACACACACGUACCACACACUACUACUAGACAUCAGCAACACACCCCUUCCACAGAUAUACAUACACGGACACAAAAAAGAAAAAAAGGAGGAGGAGCAAACAAGACACAAUCAGAAAAAGAACACAGAAUCAGAAAAGAACAC